Molecule: ribosomal RNA, 252 nt
Filed under: uncultured bacterium
Lineage: Bacteria
Description: partial 16S ribosomal RNA
Rfam family: Bacterial small subunit ribosomal RNA
Source: RNAcentral
UACGGAGGAUGCGAGCGUUAUCCGGAUUUAUUGGGUUUAAAGGGUGCGUAGGCGGAUUUUUAAGUCAGCGGUAAAAUGUCCUGGCUCAACCCGGGCCGGCCGUUGAAACUGGGGAUCUUGAGUGGGCGAGAAGUAUGCGGAAUGCGUGGUGUAGCGGUGAAAUGCAUAGAUAUCACGCAGAACUCCGAUUGCGAAGGCAGCAUACCGGCGCCCGACUGACGCUGAGGCACGAAAGCGUGGGGAUCGAACAGG